Portunus trituberculatus (swimming crab) is the source of this 984-nucleotide long non-coding RNA. RefSeq lists it as uncharacterized. Lineage: Eukaryota; Metazoa; Arthropoda; Malacostraca; Decapoda; Portunidae. The record is from RefSeq and is a predicted model, not a curated record. The transcript is spliced from 4 exons.
CCUGUGUGAUGGUGCGGUGCUGAAUGCUGCUAAUGUGUAUGUGUUUGCCUCAUGUGUGCUCGUGUGUCCUUGUGUGCCCUUGUGUGUCUCGCCUCCGUGAAGGGAACGAGUGCAGGUACUGAUGGAAUAAUGGAAGUGUGAGAAGCUGUAGAGUGAUGGACAAGCAACACAAGCAGACCACAAAUUUAUCAGAGGCAACAGGAAAAGCCACCGAUCCUUCUAGUACAGGUGUGAUCUUCUCCGGGCUUCAGGUGUGACCGCCAGGAUAUCCUGGGCCUACAGCACGAUGCCUCACCUGCGCCACAAUGGGAGGAACUAUGCAGGAUAAGCCUCAAUACCGCUGCACUCGUGGGGCUAAUGAUGUCUAUUGCUGGUGUUAUGAAAAGUACCGUAGCUGUGUACAUACGUGGUUUCAAUACUGCAGGGAGUGUUAACCUGUUCAUUAGUGUGACGCAUUUUUACUUGAGUUUUCGGUGUGAUUAGAUGAUUUUUUUGACGUCAGGAAGGGUCUAUGGAGGACAGGAGAUUAAUGGCCAGAGCCUUCACUGUUUUAAUCCCACACAUGAGUUUCUGAAUCUGUAUAAAAUCACUAAAUAUGAAAACGUGUUAUGGUACUGAAGGGGUUAACAUGUGGAGACUGUUAUUUUGGGUUAUUUGCUUAUUUUUGUGUUUUGUGGAACUUUUUUCUUUUUUCCUCCAUUUUUUGUUAGUUUAUUGUUUUCUUUGAUACGUGUUUAGUCUUUUAGUUUUGUGUGUGUUUCGUAAAUACAUCUUAGUUUUUGUAGAUAUUAUAUUGUAUGUGGUGCUUUUGUCUUUUUUUGACAUAUGUAUUUUUUUACGACAGUUCAUUGUGGAGUUCAUAGUUUUUUUUCUACUUUUCUCCUCAUUGUGUCACUUAAAUGCACGCUAUAACCUGACGGGAAGUGUGUCGUAGUGCAUAAUUGUUGUUUUUUAGACCAGGAAGCUACUGUAUCGAAUAUGUAU